RNAcentral lists this ribosomal RNA (794 nucleotides) under Petriella sordida. Its description in RNAcentral is "partial 28S ribosomal RNA". It matches the Rfam family "Eukaryotic large subunit ribosomal RNA", at positions 86 to 907 of the family's 3401-position model. Lineage: Eukaryota; Fungi; Ascomycota; Sordariomycetes; Microascales; Microascaceae. The record is from RNAcentral.
ACGGCGAGUGAAGCGGCAACAGCUCAAAUUUGAAAUCUGGCUGCCUGUGCAGUCCGAGUUGUAAUUUGAAGAGGAUGCUUUUGGCAAGGUGCCUUCCGAGUUCCCUGGAAUGGGACGCCAUAGAGGGUGAGAGCCCCGUAUGGUCGGUCGCCGAGCCUCUGUAAAGCUCCUUCGACGAGUCGAGUAGUUUGGGAAUGCUGCUCAAAAUGGGAGGUAAACCCCUUCUAAAGCUAAAUAUUGGCCAGAGACCGAUAGCGCACAAGUAGAGUGAUCGAAAGAUGAAAAGCACUUUGAAAAGAGAGUUAAACAGCACGUGAAAUUGUUGAAAGGGAAGCGCUUGCGACCAGACUUGUGCUCGUCGAAUCAGCCGUCGCUCGUCGGCGGCGCAUUUCGGCGGGCUCAGGCCAGCAUCAGUUCGCUGUAGGGGGAGAAAGGCGGUAGGAAUGUGGCUCUUCGGAGUGUUAUAGCCUACCGUAUAAUACCCCUCGGUGGACUGAGGACCGCGCAUCUGCAAGGAUGCUGGCGUAAUGGUUGUCAGCGACCCGUCUUGAAACACGGACCAAGGAGUCGUCCUAAUAUGCGAGUGUUCGGGUGUAAAACCCCUACGCGUAAUGAAAGUGAACGGAGGUGAGAGCUUCGGCGCAUCAUCGACCGAUCCUGAUGUUCUCGGAUGGAUUUGAGUAUGAGCAUAUUGGGCCGGACCCGAAAGAAGGUGAACUAUGCCUGUAUAGGGUAAAGCCAGAGGAAACUCUGGUGGAGGCUCGCAGCGGUUCUGACGUGCAAAUCGAUCGUCA